Molecule: unclassified non-coding RNA, 372 nt
Filed under: uncultured fungus
Lineage: Eukaryota; Fungi
Description: partial contains 5.8S ribosomal RNA and internal transcribed spacer 2
Rfam family: 5.8S ribosomal RNA (bases 1-133)
Source: RNAcentral
UGGCUCUCGCAUCGAUGAAGAACGCAGCGAAAUGCGAUAAGUAAUGUGAAUUGCAGAAUUCAGUGAAUCAUCGAAUCUUUGAACGCACCUUGCGCUCCUUGGUAUUCCGAGGAGCAUGCCUGUUUGAGUGUCUUGAAGUCAUCAACCCCUCCCGUUUUGUCGCGGGCGACGGUUGGAUCUGGGGGCUUGCUGCCGUGAGGCUGCUCCCCUCAAAUGCGUCGGUUGGACCUGUGGGUCGAACUCGAUCGGGCGUUGUAUUAUCCUCGCUCUGACCGAGAAGUUCCCCUCUUGCGUCCUUCCCCGACCUGCCUAUGGAGUGGCGGUCAACACAUUUUGAAAUCUGACCUCAAAUCAGGUAGGACUACCCGCUGA